GAAUUUUUCUCAAUGGGGGAAACCCUGAAGGAGCGACGCCGCGUGGGGGAUGAAGGUCUUCGGAUUGUAAACCCCUGUCACUUGGGAACAAACCUGUUCACCGAAUAGGUGAAGAGCUGAUAGUACCAGGAGAGGACGACGUGACUAACACUGUGCCAGCAUCCGCGGUAAUACAGAGACGUCGAGCGUUGUUCGGAGUCAUUGGCGUAAAGGGUGCGUAGGCGGUGGAGUAAGUCGGGUGUGAAAUCCCAAGGCUCAACCUUGGAAGGGCAUCCGAAACUACUUUGCUCGAGGGCUGGAAGGGAGACUGGAAUUCUCGGUGUAGCGGUGAAAUGCGUAGAUAUCGAGAGGAACACCUGUGGCGAAGGCGGGUCUCUGGACAGUUCCUGACGCUGAGGCACGAAAGCUAGGGUAGCAAACGGG
This 423-nucleotide ribosomal RNA is filed under the name uncultured bacterium. Its description in RNAcentral is "bacterial SSU rRNA". It matches the Rfam family "Bacterial small subunit ribosomal RNA", at positions 359 to 776 of the family's 1533-position model. The record is from RNAcentral.